UGGGGAAUCUUGCACAAUGGGGGAAACCCUGAUGCAGCGACGCCGCGUGAGCGAUGAAGCCCUUCGGGGUGUAAAGCUCUUUCGACAGGAACGAUAAUGACGGUACCUGUGGAAGAAGCUGCGGCUAACUACGUGCCAGCAGCCGCGGUAAUACGUAGGCAGCAAGCGUUGUUCGGAGUUACUGGGCGUAAAGGGUGUGUAGGCGGUUCACUAAGUUCGGUGUGAAAUCUCCCGGCUUAACUGGGAGGGUGCAUUGAAAACUGGUGGGCUUGAGUAUGGGAGAGGUAAGCGGAAUUCCUGGUGUAGCGGUGAAAUGCGUAGAUAUCAGGAGGAACACCUGUGGUGUAGACAGCUUACUGGACCAUCACUGACGCUGAAACACGAAAGCGUGGGUAGCAAACAG
Molecule: ribosomal RNA, 403 nt
Filed under: uncultured bacterium
Lineage: Bacteria
Description: bacterial SSU rRNA
Rfam family: Bacterial small subunit ribosomal RNA
Source: RNAcentral